AGAGUUUGAUCAUGGCUCAGGACGAACGCUGGCGGCGUGCUUAACACAUGCAAGUCGAGCGGUAAGGCUCCUUCGGGGGUACACGAGCGGCGAACGGGUGAGUAACACGUGAGUAAUCUGCCCCUGGCUCUGGGAUAAGCACUCGAAAGGGUGUCUAAUACCGGAUAUGACAGGCUCCUGCAUGGGGGUUUGUGGAAAGUUUUUUCGGCUGGGGAUGUGCUCGCGGCCUAUCAGCUUGUUGGUGGGGUAAUGGCCUACCAAGGCUUUGACGGGUAGCCGGCCUGAGAGGGUGACCGGUCACACUGGGACUGAGACACGGCCCAGACUCCUACGGGAGGCAGCAGUGGGGAAUACUGGACAAUGGGCGGAAGCCUGAUCCAGCAACGCCGCGUGAGGGGAUGACGGCCUUCGGGGUUGUAAACCUCUUUCAGUACCGACGAAGCUUCCUCUUUUGGGGUGGUGACGGUAGGUACAGAAGAAGCACCGGCCAACUACGUGCCAGCAGCCGCGGUAAUACGUAGGGUGCGAGCGUUGUCCGGAAUUAUUGGGCGUAAAGGGCUCGUAGGCGGUUUGUCGCGUCGGGAGUGAAAACAUCGGGCUUAACUCGAUGCUUGCUUUCGAUACGGGCAGACUUGAGGUAUGCAGGGGAGAAUGGAAUUCCUGGUAGCGGUGAAAUGCGCAGAUAUCAGGAGGAACACCGGUGGCGAAGGCGGUUCUCUGGGCAUUACCUGACGCUGAGGAGCGAAAGUGUGGGGAGCGAACAGGAUUAGAUACCCUAGUAGUCC
RNAcentral lists this ribosomal RNA (785 nucleotides) under uncultured bacterium. Its description in RNAcentral is "bacterial SSU rRNA". It matches the Rfam family "Bacterial small subunit ribosomal RNA", at positions 8 to 796 of the family's 1533-position model. The record is from RNAcentral.